Molecule: ribosomal RNA, 971 nt
Filed under: Hemipholiota sp. 'lucifera'
Lineage: Eukaryota; Fungi; Basidiomycota; Agaricomycetes; Agaricales; Hemipholiotaceae
Description: LSU rRNA
Rfam family: Eukaryotic large subunit ribosomal RNA
Source: RNAcentral
GACCUCAAAUCAGGUAGGACUACCCGCUGAACUUAAGCAUAUCAAUAAGCGGAGGAAAAGAAACUAACAAGGAUUCCCCUAGUAACUGCGAGUGAAGCGGGAAAAGCUCAAAUUUAAAAUCUGGCGGUCUUUGGCCGUCCGAGUUGUAAUCUAGAGAAGUGUUAUCCGCACUGGACCGUGUACAAGUCUCCUGGAAUGGAGCGUCAUAGAGGGUGAGAAUCCCGUCUUUAACACGGACUGCCAGGGCUUUGUGAUGCGCUCUCAAAGAGUCGAGUUGUUUGGGAAUGCAGCUCAAAAUGGGUGGUAAAUUCCAUCUAAAGCUAAAUAUUGGCGAGAGACCGAUAGCGAACAAGUACCGUGAGGGAAAGAUGAAAAGAACUUUGGAAAGAGAGUUAAACAGUACGUGAAAUUGCUGAAAGGGAAACGCUUGAAGUCAGUCGCGUUGGCCGGGGAUCAACCUUGCUUUUGCUGGGCGUACUUUCCGGUUGACGGGUCAGCAUCAAUUUUGACCGUUGGAAAAAGGCCAGGGGAAUGUGGCAUCUUCGGAUGUGUUAUAGCCUUUGGUCGCAUACAACGGUUGGGAUUGAGGAACUCAGCACGCCGAAAGGCCGGGUUUUUAACCACGUUCGUGCUUAGGAUGCUGGCAUAAUGGCUUUAAUCGACCCGUCUUGAAACACGGACCAAGGAGUCUAACAUGCCUGCGAGUGUUUGGGUGGAAAACCCGAGCGCGUAAUGAAAGUGAAAGUUGAGAUCCCUGUCGCGGGGAGCAUCGACGCCCGGACCAGACCUUUUGUGACGGAUCCGCGGUAGAGCAUGUAUGUUGGGACCCGAAAGAUGGUGAACUAUGCCUGAAUAGGGUGAAGCCAGAGGAAACUCUGGUGGAGGCUCGUAGCGAUUCUGACGUGCAAAUCGAUCGUCAAAUUUGGGUAUAGGGGCGAAAGACUAAUCGAACCAUCUAGUAGCUGGUUCCU